AUUGAACGCUGGCGGCAUGCUUUACACAUGCAAGUCGAACGGCAGCGCGGGCUUCGGCCUUGCGGCGAGUGGCGAACGGGUGAGUAAUACAUCGGAACGUGCCCAGUAGUGGGGGAUAGCUCGGCGAAAGCCGGAUUAAUACCGCAUACGACCUGAGGGUGAAAGCGGGGGAUCUUCGGACCUCGCGCUAUUGGAGCGGCCGAUGGCAGAUUAGCUAGUUGGUGGGGUAAAGGCCUACCAAGGCGACGAUCUGUAGCUGGUCUGAGAGGACGACCAGCCACACUGGGACUGAGACACGGCCCAGACUCCUACGGGAGGCAGCAGUGGGGAAUUUUGGACAAUGGGCGAAAGCCUGAUCCAGCAAUGCCGCGUGUGUGAUGAAGGCCUUCGGGUUGUAAAGCACUUUUGGCGGGAACGAAAAGGACUGUGCCAAUACCACGGUUCGAUGACGGUACCCGCAGAAUAAGCACCGGCUAACUACGUG
This 484-nucleotide ribosomal RNA is filed under the name uncultured bacterium. Its description in RNAcentral is "partial 16S ribosomal RNA". It matches the Rfam family "Bacterial small subunit ribosomal RNA", at positions 29 to 507 of the family's 1533-position model. The record is from RNAcentral.